CAAUAGCGUAUAUUAAAGUUGUUGCGGUUAAAAAGCUCGUAGUUGGAUUUCGGGGUGGCCUGCCUGGUCCACCGCAAGGUGAGUACUGGUCAGCCGCCCUUCCUCUCGAAAGCCCCGACUGCUCUUCAUUGCAGUGGUCGGGUAGUUCGGGACGUUUACUUUGAAAAAAUUAGAGUGUUCAAGGCAGGCCGUCGCCUGAAUACAUUAGCAUGGAAUAAUGGAAGAGGACCUCGGUCCUAUUUUGUUGGUUUCUAGGGCCGAAGUAAUGAUUAAGAGGGACAGUUGGGGGCAUUCGUAUUUAAUUGUCAGAGGUGAAAUUCUUGGAUUUAUGAAAGACGAACUAGUGCGAAAGCAUUUGCCAAGGAUGUUUUCAUUAA
RNAcentral lists this ribosomal RNA (377 nucleotides) under uncultured eukaryote. Its description in RNAcentral is "partial 18S ribosomal RNA". It matches the Rfam family "Eukaryotic small subunit ribosomal RNA", at positions 592 to 976 of the family's 1831-position model. The record is from RNAcentral.